GCGUGGAGAAGGAACAAGUUAUCCCGGACCAGUUUUAAUUACGCAACCUGGCGAUCAGAUCCGACUCAAUUUCAACAACGACAUA
This 85-nucleotide transfer RNA is filed under the name Synechococcus sp. CC9902. RNAcentral describes it as "tRNA-Tyr". The record is from RNAcentral. Lineage: Bacteria; Bacillati; Cyanobacteriota; Cyanophyceae; Synechococcales; Synechococcaceae.